This 178-nucleotide ribosomal RNA is filed under the name uncultured Acinetobacter sp. RNAcentral describes it as "partial 16S ribosomal RNA". It matches the Rfam family "Bacterial small subunit ribosomal RNA", at positions 355 to 524 of the family's 1533-position model. The record is from RNAcentral. Lineage: Bacteria; Pseudomonadati; Pseudomonadota; Gammaproteobacteria; Moraxellales; Moraxellaceae.
UGGGGAAUAUUGGACAAUGGGGGGAACCCUGAUCCAGCCAUGCCGCGUGUGUGAAGAAGGCCUUAUGGUUGUAAAGCACUUUAAGCGAGGAGGAGGCUACUGAGACUAAUACUCUUGGAUAGUGGACGUUACUCGCAGAAUAAGCACCGGCUAACUCUGUGCCAGCAGCCGCGGUAAU